UACGGCUAUAUAACGUCGAAACACCGGUUCUCGUCCAAUCAUAGAAGUUAAGCAACGUUGAACCUGGUCAGUACCUAGAUGAGUGACCGCUAGGCAAUACCAGGUGUUGUAAG
Molecule: non-coding RNA, 113 nt
Organism: Acanthosepion pharaonis
Lineage: Eukaryota; Metazoa; Mollusca; Cephalopoda; Sepiida; Sepiidae
Source: the annotation of a GenBank genome assembly